This 468-nucleotide long non-coding RNA is filed under the name Rattus norvegicus (Norway rat). Its description in RNAcentral is "long non-coding RNA NONRATT022941". The record is from RNAcentral. Lineage: Eukaryota; Metazoa; Chordata; Mammalia; Rodentia; Muridae.
ACCUGUGCAGCAGUGAGUAAGGGUUAUCGGGUAGGGAUUAUUGUGGGGCUCAUCCAUUUGCCCUCACUUACCCUUCCACUCCCUUCCCGCCAGACCUCGCAUCCCUGAACCUCAACAGUGGCUCCAGUGGAGCCUCAGAUCAGGACACACUGGCCCCACUGCCCCACCCAUCUGUACCCUGGCCCUUGGGUCAAGGCUAUCCCUACCAGUACCCAGGACCCCCGCCCUGCUUCCCACCUGCUUACCAGGACCCUGGCUUCAGCUAUGGCAGUGGCAGUGCUGGGAGUCAGCAGAGUGAAGGGAGCAAGAGCAGUGGGUCCACAAGGAGCAGCCAUCGGACCCCAGGCCGAGAGGAGCGCCGGGCAACUGGAGCUGGGGGUAGUGGCAGUGAAUCAGACCACACAGUACCAAGUGGGUCUGGUAGCACUGGCUGGUGGGAGCGGCCUGUCAGCCAGCUUAGCCGUGGCA